UGGGGAAUAUUGCACAAUGGGCGCAAGCCUGAUGCAGCCAUGCCGCGUGUGUGAAGAAGGCCUUCGGGUUGUAAAGCACUUUCAGCGGGGAGGAAGGCGGUGAGGUUAAUAACCUCAUCGAUUGACGUUACCCGCAGAAGAAGCACCGGCUAACUCCGUGCCAGCAGCCGCGGUAAUACGGAGGGUGCAAGCGUUAAUCGGAAUUACUGGCGUAAAGCGCACGCAGGCGGUCUGUCAAGUCGGAUGUGAAAUCCCCGGGCUCAACCUGGGAACUGCAUUCGAAACUGGCAGGCUAGAGUCUUGUAGAGGGGGGUAGAAUUCCAGGUGUAGCGGUGAAAUGCGUAGAGAUCUGGAGGAAUACCGGUGGCGAAGGCGGCCCCCUGGACAAAGACUGACGCUCAGGUGCGAAAGCGUGGGGAGCAAACAGG
Molecule: ribosomal RNA, 428 nt
Filed under: Chloroflexota bacterium
Lineage: Bacteria; Bacillati; Chloroflexota
Description: Chloroflexi bacterium partial 16S ribosomal RNA
Rfam family: Bacterial small subunit ribosomal RNA
Source: RNAcentral